Molecule: ribosomal RNA, 682 nt
Filed under: uncultured Bacteroidales bacterium
Lineage: Bacteria; Pseudomonadati; Bacteroidota; Bacteroidia; Bacteroidales
Description: bacterial SSU rRNA
Rfam family: Bacterial small subunit ribosomal RNA
Source: RNAcentral
GGGGCAGCAUGGUCUUAGCUUGCUAAGGCCGAUGGCGACCGGCGCAGCGGGUGAGUAACACGUAUCCAACCUGCCGUCUACUCUUGGACAGCCUUCUGAAAGGAAGAUUAAUACAAGAUGGCAUCAUGAGUCCGCAUGUUCACAUGAUUAAAGGUAUUCCGGUAGACGAUGGGGAUGCGUUCCAUUAGAUAGUAGGCGGGGUAACGGCCCACCUAGUCUUCGAUGGAUAGGGGUUCUGAGAGGAAGGUCCCCCACAUUGGAACUGAGACACGGUCCAAACUCCUACGGGAGGCAGCAGUGAGGAAUAUUGGUCAAUGGGCGAGAGCCUGAACCAGCCAAGUAGCGUGAAGGAUGACUGCCCUAUGGGUUGUAAACUUCUUUUAUAAAGGAAUAAAGUCGGGUAUGGAUACCCGUUUGCAUGUACUUUAUGAAUAAGGAUCGGCUAACUCCGUGCCAGCAGCCGCGGUAAUACGGAGGAUCCGAGCGUUAUCCGGAUUUAUUGGGUUUAAAGGGAGCGUAGAUGGAUGUUUAAGUCAGUUGUGAAAGUUUGCGGCUCAACCGUAAAAUUGCAGUUGAUACUGGAUAUCUUGAGUGCAGUUGAGGCAGGCGGAAUUCGUGGUGUAGCGGUGAAAUGCUUAGAUAUCACGAAGAACUCCGAUUGCGAAGGCAGCCUGCUAAGCUG